Molecule: transfer RNA, 76 nt
Filed under: Mesorhizobium sp. 131-3-5
Lineage: Bacteria; Pseudomonadati; Pseudomonadota; Alphaproteobacteria; Hyphomicrobiales; Phyllobacteriaceae
Description: tRNA-Met
Rfam family: tRNA
About the family: Transfer RNA (tRNA) molecules are approximately 80 nucleotides in length. Their secondary structure includes four short double-helical elements and three loops (D, anti-codon, and T loops). Further hydrogen bonds mediate the characteristic L-shaped molecular structure. tRNAs have two regions of fundamental functional importance: the anti-codon, which is responsible for specific mRNA codon recognition, and the 3' end, to which the tRNAs corresponding amino acid is attached (by aminoacyl-tRNA synthetases). tRNAs cope with the degeneracy of the genetic code in two manners: having more than one tRNA (with a specific anti-codon) for a particular amino acid; and 'wobble' base-pairing, i.e. permitting non-standard base-pairing at the 3rd anti-codon position.
Source: RNAcentral
GGUGGGGUAGAGCAGCCGGUAGCUCGUCAGGCUCAUAACCUGAAGGUCGUCCGUUCAAAUCGGACCCCCGCAACCA